CCCGACUGCUAUUUGGGUGAGGAUAAGCCAUGCGAGUUGAAUGGGAUACCUAAAUUUCCCAUGGCAAACUGCUUAGUAACACAUGAUCAACUUACCCUAUAGAGAAAAAUAACCUCGGGAAACUGAGGAUAAUAUUUCAUAGUUGAAUAGGCUUGGAAAAGUUUUUCAAUAAAAGGGAUAAAAAAAAUGGUUUUCAUCUGCCAUAGGAUAGGAUCGUGGACGAUUAUGGUUGUUGGUGAGGUAACGGCUCACCAAGCCGAUAAUCGAUAGGGGCCGUGAGAGCGGGAGCCCCGAGAUGGGUACUGAGACAACGACCCAGGCCUUACGAGGCGCAGCAGGCGCGGAACCUCCGCAAUACACGAAAGUGUGACGGGGCUACCCAAAGUGUUCAAUUCUGAACUGUGGUAGGUGAGUAAUGUUCCCUACUAGAAAGGAGAGGGCAAGGCUGGUGCCAGCUGCCGCGGUAAAACCAGCUCUUCAAGUGGUCGGGAUAAUAUUGGGCUUAAAAGUGUCCGUAGCCGGUUUAGUAAGUUCCUGGUAAAAUCGGGUAGCUUAACUAUCUGUAUGCUAGGAAUACUGCUAUACUAGAGGGCGGGAGAGGUCUGAGGUACUACAGGGGUAGGGGUGAAAUCUUAUAAUCCUUGUAGGACCACCAGUGGCGAAGGCGUCAGACUGGAACGCGCCUGACGGUGAGGGACGAAAGCCAGGGGAGCGAACCGGAUUAGAUACCCGGGUAGUCCUGGCCGUAAACGAUGCAUACUAGGUGAUGGUGUGGCCAUGAGCCGUAUCAGUGCCGUAGGGAAACCGUUAAGUGUGCCGCCUGGGAAGUACGGUCGCAAGGCUAAAACUUAAAGGAAUUGGCGGGGGAGCACCACAAGGGGUGAAGCCUGCGGUUCA
Molecule: ribosomal RNA, 897 nt
Filed under: uncultured archaeon
Lineage: Archaea
Description: bacterial SSU rRNA
Rfam family: Archaeal small subunit ribosomal RNA
Source: RNAcentral